CGAGUCGAGCGGUGACAGGAGAAAGCUUGCUUUCUUGCUGACGAGCGGCGGACGGGUGAGUAAUGUAUGGGGAUCUGUCCGAUAGAGGGGGAUAACUACUGGAAACGGUGGCUAAUACCGCAUAAUGUCUACGGACCAAAGCAGGGGCUCUUCGGACCUUGCACUAUCGGAUGAACCCAUAUGGGAUUAGCUAGUAGGUGGGGUAAAGGCUCACCUAGGCGACGAUCUCUAGCUGGUCUGAGAGGAUGAUCAGCCACACUGGGACUGAGACACGGCCCAGACUCCUACGGGAGGCAGCAGUGGGGAAUAUUGCACAAUGGGCGCAAGCCUGAUGCAGCCAUGCCGCGUGUAUGAAGAAAGCCUUAGGGUUGUAAAGUACUUUCAGCGGGGGAGGAAGGUGAUAAGGUUAAUACCCUUUGUCAAUUGACGUUACCCGCAGGAAGAAGCACCCGGCUAACUUCCGUGCCAGCAGCCGGCGUAAUACGGGAGGGUUGCAAGCGUUAAUCGGAAUUACUGGG
This 518-nucleotide ribosomal RNA is filed under the name Proteus mirabilis. RNAcentral describes it as "bacterial SSU rRNA". It matches the Rfam family "Bacterial small subunit ribosomal RNA", at positions 58 to 558 of the family's 1533-position model. The record is from RNAcentral. Lineage: Bacteria; Pseudomonadati; Pseudomonadota; Gammaproteobacteria; Enterobacterales; Morganellaceae.